GCGGGUGUGGCGGAACUGGCAGACGCACGACUCUUAAAAAGUCGGGCCCCCAAAAAGGCGUGUGGGUUCGAGCCCCACCACCCGCA
Molecule: transfer RNA, 86 nt
Filed under: Candidatus Dormiibacterota bacterium
Lineage: Bacteria; Bacillati; Candidatus Dormiibacterota
Description: tRNA-Leu
Rfam family: tRNA
About the family: Transfer RNA (tRNA) molecules are approximately 80 nucleotides in length. Their secondary structure includes four short double-helical elements and three loops (D, anti-codon, and T loops).
Source: RNAcentral